This 253-nucleotide ribosomal RNA is filed under the name uncultured bacterium. Its description in RNAcentral is "partial 16S ribosomal RNA". It matches the Rfam family "Bacterial small subunit ribosomal RNA", at positions 524 to 776 of the family's 1533-position model. The record is from RNAcentral.
UACGAAGGGUGCAAGCGUUAAUCGGAAUUACUGGGCGUAAAGGGUGCGUAGGCGGCCUUUUAAGUCGGAUGUGAAAUCCCCGGGCUCAACCUGGGAAUGGCAUUCGAUACUGGAAGGCUAGAGUUUGGGAGAGGGUGGUGGAAUUCCCGGUGUAGCGGUGAAAUGCGUAGAGAUCGGGAGGAACAUCAGUGGCGAAGGCGGCCACCUGGCCUAAAACUGACGCUGAGGCACGAAAGCGUGGGGAGCAAACAGG